GGGGAAAGUGAUCUAGCCACUUUCACCCGACCCACGCCAGGGCUUGCCAAUCCACUGGAUUCUUCCCGGAACAGUCUCUCCGACGAGACACUAUUCUCGGAGGUCCAACUUCACAGUGAGGAAGGCAAGACACCUAAACAGAAGGUCAUUUUCCCUUAGAUUGCUUCUAAGGCUUAGAAGAACAGAAGGAACAUAAAUGCCUUUAAUUUGCAGGCUGAGUUGGAUGAAAGGGAGGUCUUAAGACUCUUAGAGGCCGUCUUAGCUGAAUUAGGGAGCUGCUCCCUAAGAGACGAACCUCAGGCAAUUCUCUAAAAAGACCAUCUGGGCGGUCAAGAGCUGAAUGCCGCUUGGUUUUCCCUUCUCCUUGCUUUGACUGGGACCCAAAAUAUGACAGUCGUCCCAUUCAAAUCUAGGGGGGCGUUUCUCAUUCCCGGAUGUCCUCCCAAAGGCAGAUACCCAUGCCCUUACCCGCGGCGCGUGAAUACGAAGGGAGGCACUGCUCGGGCUCGAGACCGCACCAGAGACUGCUCGGAGCCCGCCGCCUCUGGGCCGCCGCCCCCCGCAGUGGAGGCAAAGGGCCAGAGGCCCCGAGCUUUGGAGCCGCUGGCGCCCAUGUCAGCGCCGCGGGCGCAUGGCGGACCCAGCGGCCGCUCCGCUCUCACAGCGCGGCGGGCGCGACCAUGCCCUGCCCCAGCUUCCACUCGCAGGUGCCGCCGCCGCCUUCCGCAGGCUCUGCUGUCUCCACGGAAACCUCACUUCCGCUUCCGCGCGUCCUGCACGGUGCCUCCUCUGAGUGGCUAAAGGUCUCGUCAGUCUGUGGUGUAGAACCAAUGGCCACUCUCAGAGGCUGACCACCACAGGAUGCGCUGCCUCCAGGUCCCAGAAGCCUAUGGGUCCCAAGGGUCAGCUGGGACAGCUCCCUUCCAGAAAGGCGGAGGUAAUGUGUUGUUGUUGACUUUAAGGUCGGACCGGGUAUAGUUGUCCCUAUGUCCCUGACACCGCCCAAAACUCGGGCCCAGUAGCAAUAGUCAAUUAGGUCACCCCUCCACCCUAAGGGACCUUAGGCCUGCCUGAGGCUAGGGUGGGCUGUUUUCACAACUGUGUCUUUGCAGUUGUCACAUUUGCCUGUAAAGAAACUACGGAACUUGCUAAACAUCUUUGUUAUCUUUCUUUUUUCUUUUGGAGACAGGGUCUCACUAUGUAGCCUUAGCUGGCCUGGAACGUGCCAUGUAUAAAUGGCUGACGCUCAAAUGCCUGUCUCCCGAAUGCUGGGAUUAAAGGAGUGACCAACUGCACAGGGGGCCAAACUUCUUUUUAAAACUUUUUUGAUCAAUUUCUUAAGGAACCUAAACUAAGUGUUGUUAAUUCACCAGAUAACAUAAUCCAGGAAAAUCAUUAUUACCAGCUUUACCCUGGUAGCAUGUGAACUGUGGGACCCACGAGUAGAUUUUUGGAGAAGGGGUUACUGCUAUGGUUUCUCUUGAGUUGGCCUGUGAGAAAAAAGUUUCCUGUGUAGUAACUGUAGCUUAUUCUUGUCUCUACCAUGACCUGAGCCCUGGAGGGUUGAAAGACACCUGAAUCCACAGGCAUAAAUUUCCUGAACAUAUUGGUCCCACUGCGACCUUGGAGAGGGUGCACUCUGGAUGUGUCAAUCUUUGUUGGCAGUCUUUCAUUAGGUGUUACCCCGAUCUAUAGGGGCCCACAUCUAUAGAGUCCAAAACCAGAAAAAUUCUUACAUCUUUAUUCAGCCAAUUCUCUCAGGCACCAGGCCCUGAUGAUGACUGUCACACCCCCAUCCCUUCCCCACAGGAGGCCACAAAACAUUACAUACAUUCAUACACUUCCAUCAAAAAUAUCCGAGGGAGACUCUGGCUUUGGCAAACAAGAAGAGGCUCUGGUCCAGCAGCCUUUCCCUUAGAGGAGGCACCGCCUGAGCCACUGCAGUUGAACCGGCCAGCCCUCUUUGACCCCAGGGUGUUUGGAAGUCAGAAGGCACGGUAAGAGGGAACCCCGGACUCUACCUUACUGAGCAGCUACCCUUGGCUCUGAUAGGGCUAUCCUGAGACCCAUUCAUGACUCAAAACAAUCUCCAUAGGUAAGGUCUUACCCGUGAAAACAUAACUUUGUUCUGUCUGUAGAGUCUCUAAGAUUCUCACAGCUGCGACCCUGUGACUUGAGCAGCUACCCAGAGUAUGACCCAGUACAUACGGGCAGAGGGAUGCAAAGCCCCGCCCCACCAUAUCCACAGGUAGACAGCCGGCUCCUUCCCUGUUCUCUGGGCUCAUCCCUGUCAGCAGAGGAGGACCUCCAUGCACACGCACUCCUCAGGCCCCACAGGCCCUGUCACACUCACACGGCACGCUCUUUGCACUGCCUGUUCUCCUCCUGUCACCCAGGGAGACCCAAGGUCACCCCAAAGGACAGGCGUGCAGAGCCUCCUGGAUCUUCUGGCGACAACGAGAAUACUUCUGCAGGAUCUGGCGAAGGUGUUCCUCUUCUUCCCGCUGCAGGAUGCGUAGGAAAUUGUGCAGUUCAGGCAUGCUGAAGGCAUCCCACUGCAAAGGGCAGAGGAGAGAUACACGGGCUGCAGCAAUGUAUAGCUAAGUUGGCAGACCCUCCUCCCAGACUGGUCCAUGAUGGUUCUCCCAUGAGCAGGACUGCGCUCCUGACAUUACCUUCCUUUUCAUUUCAUUAUUAUCUUAUGUGUAUGCAUAUUUCCACAUAGAGGUCAGAAGAAGGUAUCAGAUCCCCCGGAAUUAAGAGUUACAGAUGGUUGUGAGCUGCCAUCUGGGUGCUAGGCAUCAAACCCAUGUCCUCUGUAAGAACAACAUGUACUCUUAACCACUAAGCCAAUUCCUUUUGUUGUUGUUUAAUGGUUUUACAAUUUAUUUAUGUGCAUUGGUAUUCUGCCUGCAUGUAAGACUGUGAGGGCAUCAGAUCCCCUAGAACUGGAAUUAUAGACAGUUGUGAGUUGCCAUGUGGAUAUUGGGAACUGAACCCCAGGUAUUGAACUCGGGUCGGGUCCUUCAGAAGAGCAGCCAGUACUCUUUAUCGCUGACCCAUCUCUCCAGCCCUGCUAAGCCAACUCUUUAAGUCCCCUAUUUUUUUGUUGUUUUUUGAGUCACAGUCUUUUUACAUAUCAAAGGUUGGCCUUUAACUUGCUAUGUAGCCCAGGUUAGUCUCAAACUUGUGAUUCUCCUGCUUCUGCUUCCGGAAUGCUGAGAUUACAAGUAUUUAUCACAAUGCUAGCCUUGGUGUUAGGCUCUUCACUGAAUAGUCUGUGCUAGGAUCCUCAUGAGCAGUCUGUAUAGAAAACAGACCCUACAAAACAGUCUCCUUGUAGUGAAAUUUCUCUAUCUGUCGUUAGGUGUAUUUUCCCACAUAGUCUCAUAUUCUCUCCCUCACUAUAAUGGGCUCUGAUUCAAACCUAGGGUCUCAUAAAUGUUAGCAAAUUACCUUUUACCCAGCUACAUUCCCAUACAGCCCUCGUACCCACCCUAUUCUUUUUCUUUUUCUUUUUUCUUUUUUUUUUGCUGCCGAGCUCUGUGCAUGCUGAGCAUCUAUUCUUACCACUGAGGCACAACUAACCCCGAUGUAAAAAAUCAUUGUUUUUUUCUUUNNNNNNNNNNNNNNNNNNNNNNNNNNNNNNNNNNNNNNNNNNNNNNNNNNNNNNNNNNNNNNNNNUUGUAGACCAGGCUGGCCUCGAACUCAGAAAUCCGCCUGCCUCUGCCUCCCGAGUGCUGGGAUUAAAGGCGUGCGCCACCACGCCCGGCUGCUUGUAGACUGUCUUAAUGCUUCCAAGAGGCCUUUAUGUUUUUUAGGUUAUACCUGCAAAGCUUUUUUCUUUUUCUUUUUGUUUUAAGGUUUGUUUUAGGGGCUCGAAAGAUAGUUCAGUCUCAGUCUCAGUGGUUAAGAGCAUUGGUUGCUCUUGUAGAGGACCAGAGUUCAAUUCCUAGCACCAACAUGGUGGGUUCCAUCAUCUGUAACUCUGUUCUAGGGGAGCCAACACCUUCUUACUUCUGUGGGCACGUGUACACAUAUGUACACAUAUAUACAUGCAGGCAAAACAUUCAUACACAAAGUCUUUUAAAAAGAUCUGUUUUAUGUGUAUAAGUGUGUUGCUUGCAGGCAGGUAUGCACAUUGUGUGUAUGGUCUGCAAUUAUGGGCAACUGUAAGCUUUUAAAUGUGUCUAAGAACCAAAUCCAGGUCCUCUGCAUGAAUAAUACGUGUUUUUAACCACUGAGCCAUCUUUUCUAUUGUCCUAGUUGUGUGCUUGCGCACGCGCGUGGGGUCACAGGCACAUAACUCCAGGCACCCUCUGAUGCCAGCAGAGGAAGACAAAUCCUUUGGCACUGGAGUUGCAGGUAAGUGGGAGCCACUUGAUAUGGGUGCUUCAAACAGAAUGUGGAUCCUCAGGAAAUGCAGUGAGCACUCUGCACUGUGGAGCCAUCUCUGAGCCCACAUAUAUGGAGCUCUGAACUGGUCUUGGCUCACUAUGAGUUAGUCAAGUUCUCAUUUUCAACACCAGGAAACAACAAAGCCCGAAGACAAUUCUUCCUA
Molecule: long non-coding RNA, 4561 nt
Filed under: Mus caroli (Ryukyu mouse)
Lineage: Eukaryota; Metazoa; Chordata; Mammalia; Rodentia; Muridae
Description: predicted gene 9917 (MGP_CAROLIEiJ_G0004247.1)
Source: RNAcentral